CAAAAGCGUGGUAGAAUGUUAGGACCCAAAUAUCCCAAAUUGAGAGCUCUCGAGAACCCUUUCCAUACAAGUUAAUAUUUAAUUGUAAGUUCUACCCAUGGCCCCUCUUCUCACAAGGAGAAGAUCUUACUGUAGUUACCACCUAUGGCUUCAUCAGAAAUUUAUCUCUAAGACUCUUUUUAAUCAUUUUGGUUAAAUAUUUCCAAGUCUAGUGUAAUUCUAUGUGUGUAUGCCUAAAGUUUGUGUAAUCCUAUGGUUAACUGUUUUAGAAGCGUAAGGAUAUCCGUGUUCGACUGCUUGCAAUAAAUUUCAUCCAUGAAACCCUUGUGCACAAUUGGUAAUUGCUCAAUGAAAUUUUAGUGAAGAGUAUGUUUCUUGUGAAGAAACCUUUCAUCCUUAGCCUAAAAGGAUUUGGAUUAAAUUUAAUUGGAACGGAUUAGCCUAGUUGUAAUCCAAUCCAACAUCAAUUAUAGCCCAAACGUGGCAUUAAUGGAGGAUCAUCUAAUUCCUAAUUCCCAUGCCACAUUUGAGCUCGCAACCUGCAGCCUGUAUUCAAUUUUCCUGUUGUGGUUUUUUAGUUUUUUGUUAACAUGGAUUCGGUCUGAUCAGUUGAUAUAUAUAUAAUUAAAUAUACAGAAACGUUGAUAUAGAUCUAAAUUUUCAUUGAAGAGUUAGGUUUAAUUCCCGGAUUUGGGGACUUUGAUCCAAGUCCUUUGACUUUGUGCCACGUAGAAUUACAUUCCAUUUUAAAUAUUUUUUGAUUUUCCCACUUCCCUUUUCUCCACUUACACUCCCUUUUUCUUUUUAAUACUUUUUAAUCAAUUUUGUUUAUUCUCUUUCCUAUUCUACCCUUACCCUACAUUAAUUUCUUUUUAUUUCACUUUUAUAUUAGUUUUUUUUUAAUACUUAAUUUUCCAACUUGCACUCCAUUUUUAAUAUUUUUUUUCCCUUAAUUGAGUAAGAAAUUAAGUUUUUUUUCCCCCCCCCUAAUACUGAAAAUGGAGUAUAAGUUAAAAAAUUAAGUAUAAAGAAAAAUAAAUAAUAUAAAAGUAAAGCAAAAAAGAAAUUAAUGUAGGGUAAAAAUAGAAUAGGAAAGAGAAAGAAAAAAAUUGAUUAAAAAGCAAAAGGGAGUGUAAGUGGAAAAAAUGGGUAACAUACAAUUUUAUUUUGUCUAUUUUUGUAUCUGACUUAUAAGUAGUCUUCUAAUUUAUGUUCCUAACUUAUAGGUAUAGUCUUUUAAUUUAUGUUCUAACUUAUAAGUAACAUGAUUUAUCAUCACUAAGAUUUUUUCGUUGGUAAUAAUUACACUAUUUACUUGUAUGUUAGGUAAAUUAAUGUGGGUACUUGUUUGAUUGAUUGGUAUAAUAUGUGGGUCUUUACUUUUUAUGGAUUAAAUUGUAUUUUAUCCAUAAUUAGGAAUAUUAUCAAGGAAAGAAUUCAAAAUUUAAAUUUUGGAAUUCAAUUACAAGGAAAUAAUCCAUUAAAUUUAAAAUUUUCAAUGUGUUUUCCUUAUUUACCUCAAAGGGUAAAAUCAACACAACAAAAAAAGUGAUAAAUGUCAAAGGACCUACAUAUAAACGCGUGGACUAAACCCAAUGACAGCUAAUCAUUUUGGACCUAAAUCUAAAAAGCCCUUAAAUAUAAUUAGUUUCCUUGUAUAUACUUAAUUUUUUAUUCUUUUGGGGGAGAAGAAAAUGCAGACAAUAAGGGUCUAGAUGGUAGGAGCGUAAUCCAGAAGUUUGGAUUAAAUUGGCAUGGCGGGUAGCAUAUUUGUGCCAGCAUUAGCUGUAUCGAUGGUCUCAAUGGCAACCAAAGGCCAUAAUUAAACACAUCGGCAAAGAAGACGACUUCACCCUUAGGGUUGCUUAAUGCUUCUAACAGCUUAAGGAUCCGCAUCACUACCGAAUCCGGGAUAUGGUAAUCCGCCCAGAUCUUGGCCAACUCCCAAUCCGUCAGCAUGUUCAACUCCAGGAAGUCUGCUUUAAAGACUAGACCAUUUGGCUGUGCCAUCGGCACCCGUUGGUUACCAGUCACAACUCUCAAAAUCCCUUCAGCAGGAAUGGACGUUGAACCUUUGGCCGCUUGAUCACCAUGACCAGAUGUAGAAUUUCUGAUUGAUAACUCGUGUGUUGAUCCAUCACACCAGUAUCUUGCAUAAGAAACUCCACAUAGUGGGCCAUAUAUUGGCCCGAAGAGAACUUGAAGCAGGACACAUAGUGCAUGCAGCUUCGACAGGCACUACUCACAUUGAAUAUACAAGUAUAUCGAUAGUACUCAGGCUACACCCAUCGCCAUUGCUUCUGAUAUACUCAACCCUAAAACAGAUUUCUAAGCAUAUGUGUGAAAGAAGUGCAAUUCACUUACCCAAAGAAAACGUGAUGAUGAUUGUUUGAUAGCCGGUAGCAAAGGAUGCUCAGCGAAAACAAUCAAGGAAGUGAAAGAGAAAGACUAGAUGAGGGAGGUUCUGCCACAAGAGAAGAGAAAUAGACAAAUUUAAGUCUGGAAUAGCCGGUAGCAAAAACAACCGAGGAAGUGAAAGAGAAAGACUAGAUGAAUGAGGUAAAUGAGUGAAGCUGCCUCAAAGGAAGGAAUGGAUGACACCAUUGGGCCAAUGUCGAUAAAGUGCGCCGAUGAUGACGUCAUAUACAUAAGCGUGGUAGAAUGUUAGAACCCAAAUAUCCCAAGUUGAGAGCUCUCGAGAACCCUUUCCAUACAAGUUAAUUUUUAAGUGUAAGUUCUACUCAUGGCCCCUCUUCUCACAAGGAGAAGAUCUUACUGUAGUUACCACCUAUGGCUUCAUCAGAAAUUUAUCUUUAAGACUCUUUUUAAUCAUUUUGGUUAGAUAUUUCCAAGUCUAGUGUAAUUCUAUGUGUGUAUGCCUAAAGUUUGUGUAAUCCUAUGGUUAACUGUUUUAGAAGCGUAAGGAUAUCCGUGUUCAACUGCUUGCAAUACAUUUCAUCCAUGAAACCCUUGUGUACAAUUGGUAAUUGCUCAAUGAAAUUUUAGUGAAGAAUAUGUUUCUUGUGAAGAAACCUUUCAUCCUUAGCCUAAAAGGAUUUGGAUUAAAUUUAAUUGGAAUGGAUUAGCCUAGUUGUAAUCCAAUCCAACAUCAAUUAUAGCCCAAACGUGGCAUUAAUGGAGGAUCAUCUAAUUCCUAAUUCCCAUGCCACAUUUGAGCUCGCAACCUGCAGCCUGUAUUCAAUUUUCCUGUUGUGGUUUUUUAGUUUUUUGUUAACGUGGAUUCGGUUUGAUCAGUUGAUACAUAUAUAAUUUAAUAUACAGAAACGUUGAUAUAGAUCCAAAUUUUCAUUGAGGAGUUGGGUUUAAUUCCCGGAUUUGGAGACUUUGAUCUAAGUCCUUUUUUGUGCCACGUAGAAUUACAUUCUAUUUUAAAUAUUUUUGAUGUAAUUAUUAUUUUAUUUUAAAAAUCAUUUUUUGUUCCAAUAUUGCCCCUUAUGACUUGAAUCGGGUAAUAGUAAUUUAUGUCAUAUUGCCUAUUGCAUAGGUAUAUAUAUAUGUUUUUUCAUAUUUUCGACAAUGUGUAAUAGUAUUUUAUGCACCUUUUUUUUUUUUUUUUUUGGGAUAUGAUUUCCCAACUCCCCUUUUCUCCACUUACACUCCCUUGUGGUUUUUAAUACUUUUUAAUUAAUUUUGUUUCUUCUCUUUCCUAUUCUAUUCUUAUCCUACAUUAAUUUCUUUUUACUUCACUUUUAUAUCAGUUCUUUUUUAUUUAUUUUUAAAAUACUUAAUUUUUCAAUUUGCACUCCAUUUUUAAUAUUUUUUUUCCCUUAAUCGAGUAAGAAAUUAAGUUUUUUUUUUCCUUUAAUACUGAAAAUGGAGUGUAAGUUAGAAAAUUAGGUAUAAAGAAAAAAAAUAAUAUAAAAGUGAAGUAAAAAAGAAAUUAAUGUAGGGUAAGGAUAGAAUAGGAAAGAGAAAGAAAAAAAUUGAUUAAAAAGCAAAAGGGGGUGUAAGUGGAAAAAAUGGUAGUGGAAAAUCAGCUCCCUAUUUUUUUUAAUAGGUAAUAUACAAUUUUAUUUUGUCUAUUUUUGUAUAUGACUUAUAGGCAGUCUUCUAAUUUAUGUUCCUAACUUAAAGGUAUAGUCUUCUAAUUUAUGUUCUAACUUAUAAGUAACAUGAUUUAUCAUCACUAAGUUUUUUUCGUUGGUCAUAAUUACACUAUUUACUUGUAUGUUAGGUAAAUUAAUGUGGGUACUUGUUUGAUUGAUUGGUAUAAUAUGUGGGUCUUUACUUUUUAUUGAUUAAAUUGUAUUUUAUCCAUAAUUAGGAAUAUUAUCUAGGAAAGAAUUGAAAAUUUAAAUUCUAGAAUUCAAUUACAAGGAAAUAAUCCAUUAAAUUUAAAUUUUCAUUGUGUUUUCCUUAUUUACCUUAAAGGGUAAAAUCAACACAACAAAAAAAGUGAUAAAUGUCAAAGGACCUACAUAUAAACACAUGGACUAAACCCAAUGACAGCUAAUCAUUUUGGACCUAAAUCUAAAAAGCCCUUGAAUAUAAUUCGUUUCCUUAUAUAUACUUAAUUUUUUAUUCUUUUUGGGGGAGAAGAAAAUGCAGACAAUAAAGGUCUAGAUGGUAGGAGCGUAAUCCCAAAGUUCGGAUUAAAUAGGCCUGGCAGGUAGCAUAUUUGUGCCAGUUUUAUUGAGUGUGGCAUUUAUAAGUGUGUUUGAGUUUAUUAUUUGCCUUGUUUAAGAUAUUAUCUGGCUUAAGGACUUUAUUGGUGAUUUGCUUUGGAUUAUUUGAAGGCCGGAGGCCGUUUAUGUGAAUUGCAUGUUGAUACAUUGUGCAUGCUGCCAGUUGUGGAUAUUAAAUGUGUUUUAUGUAGGUUGAAAAUUUUGGGAUUGUUCAAAUUACAAGGGAGACUCUGCCAAAAUUUUGGUAGAAAGUCUUGGUCUUUAGUAAGUGGGCCCGGCAUCGAGGUGAUGUCGGAAUUUCCACAGGAUUCGUCUCGAGUUUCGGGGAAUUCGGGGUGGGUCCUGUCACUUCUAGGCAACUUAAGAAGCAUGAGUUGAAUACCUUACGCAUGAUUUCGAGCUUACUGCGGUAGUGUUCAAGUUAAAGAUUUGGCGACAUUAUCUUUAUUGAGAAACGUGCCAAAUUUUUACGGAUCAUAAUAAAAGGCUAAAGUAUUUGUUCACCUAGAAGAAAUUAAAUUUGAGACAAAGGAGAUGGUUAGAAUUGAUAAAGGACUAUGAUUGUACCAUUGAACAUCAUACUGGGAGAGCUAAUGUUGUGGCUGAUGCUCUUAGCAGGAAGUUGUCUGGGUCCUUGGCUCAUCUUCGAGGGAAGUAUCUUCCAUUGUUGGUUGAAUUGAGAAAGUCGAGAGUUGGGUUAAGUAUGGAUGAUCAAGGAGCUUUGUUUGCAACUCUCCACGUAAGACUGCUGUUAGUUGAACGAAUUAUCGAAGCCCAAAUGCAGGAUCAAUUAAUUUUACACGUUAAGGUUGGAGGUUGAAAAUGGUACAGGAAUAGAUUAUUCUAUGAGAAGGGAUGGAGCUUUGAUGGUAGGAACAAGAUUGUAUGUUCUCGGGGAUGAAGCACUAAAGAGGGAAAUUCUUGAGGAGGCCCACUGUUCGGCCUUCGCCAUGCAUCCUUGCAGCACAAAAAUAUACUGCACCCUAAGAAAUCAUUAUUGGUGGCCUAUAAUCAAGCAAAUUCCAAGUUAUGCAAAGUUCUUGAAGGACCUUUGUACCAACAAGAGGAAAUUCAAAUAUCAUGAAACGGUUGCACUAACGGAAGAGGUUUAUGCUGUUUUGCAAAGGAAGCUCCCUCCCAAGUUAAAAGAUCCAUGAAGUUUUACAAUUCCUUGUGUUAUUGGUGAUAAAAUGUUUGAACCCCGCCAAGCCCAAACACUAUGUGCUCUCUCUGCAGAGACAGAAACGUUCUCUUUACUCUUACAAUCCUCAAGUGAGAGAUCUCAGACAGUUUGCUCAUAAGCUCAAUGAUUGUGAUACCUCUUAAGGUGCUUUCUUGGCUACUCUUGAAGAAAUCUCACAACCAUCCACUAGAGAAAAUGCGUUUUUGAUACUCAAUAGCUUGAAGUCGUGGCAGAAAACCCAAAUGUUCUUCAAUUGGGUGAAAACCCAUAAUUUUUUAAGAAAAAGAAGAUUAAAACAAAAACAAAAACUGCAUCCCUAUCCCUGCAUCCCUACCCUUCCCCUCCCCCUCAAUCUCCCCAUCUGCCCUCAUCCUCCUUCUCUCUCUCUCUCUCUCUCUCUCUGUCUGUUACCCCCAAGCCAAAGCUCAGCCCCCUCCCUGUCAUCCACGACCCACUCUCUGCCCCUCUAUCUUUCCCUUAUCUUCCUUUUUGUCCCCUUAUCUCUCUCUAUGUGUUAUCUGACAGGACCCGCCUCGGAAUUCCCGAAAACCGAAGCGAAUCCCAUCCCGUUACCGACAUCACCCCGAUGUUGGGCCCACUUACUAAGGAUCAAGACUUUCUACCAAAAUUUUUGGCAGAGUCUCCCCUGUAAAUUGAACAUUUUCCCAAAAAUUCAACCUGCUCAAAAUUCACAGUUUAAGGUACCCAACCAGCAACAUGCUUUAAAGCAAAUAAACAGUUUACAACAAAGGCCUCUGGCCUCAAAGAUCAAACCCUAGCAAGGGCAAUAACAGAGCAUAUCUAAAGAAUUCAAAUACAACAAAAACAAAGUUCAAGGGAAAAAGAAUGAAGGAGUCCUACGAAGGCUCAAGGCUUGUAAGCACACGAUCCAGCUCAGCUGCGGAGCACAGUCAACUACUGGCUGGGGGCGCAAAACAGAAAAAUGUGAGUGGACGAAAAUAAAGUUUAGUUCAGUGUAAACUAAGAUAAUAUAACCUCACUGUUUAAUAAACCAAUGCAAGAAAUCCAAAUGCAUCCCAAACCAUCAUAAUCAAAUAAAUAUUUAUAUAUGUCAAAACCAAACCAAUACCGGAUGCCAAGUUCGAAAUCCAAACAGAACACUAAACAAACCGACCAAUUAAAUAUUAUAAGUCCCAAACCAAACUCUCAAAAGAGUAUCCAUUGGCACGACCGGUAAGGAAGUAUCCUCACCGAAAAACAAGAAUGAAUGAAUAGUUAUAUACAUAUGUAAAUAUAUAUAUAUAUAUAUAAUAUAAGAGAUAUAUAUAUACAUAUAUAAUAAUAAUAUAAAUAUGACCAACACCUAGUUGUACCGGGGAAACAAUCCAACUAGGGGAUUGUUUGACUAGUCACCAUGGCAGAGUCCCCAUGAAGAGUCCUCAAUUCACCAUGUAACUAGGGAACGAGCCGUCCAACUGGGGACUAACUCUCAGCCAGCACGUACAGCCGAUACCCUCAAAACUUGUACGUCUGUGACUAGUCCUACGAGCGCGGACUACCCAAUCAAGGGUCUACAGCAACAUCCCGUCAAGGAUGCCCCGGGUUCCGACAUUUCCAAGUAUCUCAAGUUCCAAAUCUGGGGAGGUACAAAGGGUAGUGCUUAUAGCACUCCAAACUGACAAUCUAUACUCAUCACUUUCCACAAUCUCAUCUCAAUAACCCAAGUACCCCGCACAUAGCCAAACAUAUAUAUAAAUUCUCAAAAUCCAUAUAUACAUACUCAAGAUACUCAAAUAUGUCAAAACCUAAAAUAUAUUACCAAUACUUUAUGAAAAUCAAGAAUUCAACUAUUAAAUAUAACAUGCAUUUCAAUAACUAUUUAAUUAAUAUGCAUAAAGUUCUCAUUAUAAAACCAUGCUUAUAAGUUGAAAACAAAGUCCACUCACAAGUAGUCCCACACUGCCUGACCCUGAGAGGGUCCCGCCUGCUGCGUAUGCGUGGUCGAAGUACCUAUUUCAGAAUACGAAUACGAAAUUAAUACAAAGUGUUUCGAACGAGAACUUGAAUUAAAAUCUUAAUUUCCCGGGUUUCUAGCGAGUGUACGAGGAAGGGAACAAACUGGAAGUUCCUAAGAGUUCCACAAGGUUUAAGACACAUGUCCCUUAAGUUUGGUCUGAAAAGGACGGUUAGAUCGCUCACGAUCAAACGGUUAUCAAAAAAUCUUCAAACUUUAAAUUAUUGAAUCGGAACAUCCGGGGCUCCGAUUCAUGAUCCGCGAAUUUCUACACGUUCCUAGGAAAGUCUAGAGUAACAUAAAUUGGAAUGGAGUCGAUCCAACGGUCCGAACAUGGCGAACCCGAUAACUCCUAAUAUGUGAAAAUCCGUUCGAUAGUCAAACGAUGUCUGAAUUGAGAUCCGCGAAAUCCUACACAUUCCUGACAACCAGGAGAUCGCAUUGGGACAAAAAUGCAAGUUUGCUACAGUGCCCACGCGCUGGCAGCGCGUGAGUGUCCAAAGCGAUAACCCUUCGUCGGAAAAACUCAACACCUCGGCUCAAGACUCCUACCCUAGGUACAACACCCUAUUUGGAGUCACUUUUGUUAUUGGGCCUACCCCAAAAAGUGAGCGGAAGUGGCCGGAAUCGGAAAUCCAAAACCGGCCGAACCCUAAGUUGAAAUUCAAUUGACCUAAGCUCAAAAUUAACGAAAUCCUACCCAACCAUCAACUAGAGCAUGAAAAAUAGGUAGAAAACCAUACCUUACUCGUCAAAUUUGGUGGAGAAAUGAGAGAGAACGAGAGGCCGAAAGUUUGUUGAAAAACUGUCAAAACAGCCUCAUUUCGUGGCUGAUUCUGGCGACCACGACGACGGAUCGAGGCUGGGACCGGUCUGGAAUUGAAGAGGGAAGUGGGGCGGUUCUAACGGGACCGGUGCCGCCCCAAGUGGCGGUGUGUGGUGGUGGUGGCGACGGUGAGAAGUUGCUGUCGUCGCAAGCCAAAAAAAUAAAAAGGGAGGGGGUUUCUGGUUCGCGAGAGAGAGAGAGAGAGAAAGAGAGGAAAAAAAAUCUGGUUUUUAAAAAUCAACUUUGAAAUAUUUACGGUUUUGCCAUUGUCGAAGUUUUGAUCGUAACUUCUUCGUUACAACUCCGAAUUGAGCCCACUACGUGUCUACGGACUCAACUCAGUAAGAUCUACCCAAAAAUACCAGCCACUGCCCCAAAUCUGUUCGGGUAAUAAAAUGACCAAAAUACGCCUACCCUAAGGGUAAAUCCGUAAAUUUCAAAAUUAAAUAACUUAAGGAAUUUAAUUUAGGAAUUUAAUUUAGAGUCGGGGUGUUACAUUAUCUUUUCCAUUGGCGAAAGGUGCCUCUGGUUUUUUUUCCCCCCAACUACCCAAACCACCCUCACCCCCGAGCCUUACAUGUGACCCAACAGAGGGAUCGUUUGUGGAGAGAGAGAGAGAGAGAGAGAGAGAGAGAGAGAGAGAGAGAUGUGGAGAGGUAGAGAUGUAAUUUUUGUUUUUUUUUUAAUCUUAUUUUUUCUAAAAUAUUAAUUUUCUUUACAAAUUUUUUUUAUGGAUUUAGAGUUUUAAAAUUGAAACUGAAAUUUUUAAUUAUUAUUUUGUGAAAAAUAAGGUAAAGCGAGACAAAAUUGUGUGAAAUAUGGGGUAAAGUGAGACAAAAUGAGAUUCAUGGGGUAAAGUGAGACUCAAAUACACUUUCAGGAGGUAUAUAAAAAAACAAGCCUAAAAAAAAAACAAACCCACCUCAUCCUCCCCCACUUUAAUCCCAACCCCCAUCUCAUCGCUGUUCUGCAACAGCCUCUUAGUAUCCCACCUUCCCCAUCCUCUCUCUCUCUCUCUCUCUCUCUCUCUCUCUCUCUCUCCGAACAAACCUAGAGCCUUGCAACCCUAAUAAACGUUUGAAGAGAGAAAUAGAGGGAGAGAGGAGAAUGGGACAUGGAGGGAGGGGAAGAAAAGGUGGGCUGUGAGGUGGAAAAGAUGUGGCGCUGGGGCAAUGGUUAUUGGGCUGGGAGGUGGGAGAGGGAAAUAGGUUUUUAUUUUAUAGUUUUUAAUUUAUUUACUAUUUUAUUUAAUUGGACUCUUUUACCCCUAUAUUUGACAGUAAUAUUGAUAGAAAGGGAUGCUCAGGAUACUUGGCUCAUGUGAUUGAUACAUGGGAUAAUGGAUUGCAAUUGGAAGAUAUUUCAGUGGUACAAGAGUUUUUGGAUGUAUUCCCAGAAUAGCUUCCUGGAUUACCUCCUGAAUGGGAGAUGAAUUCACUAUUGAACUCAUCCCAGGAACAAAUUCUAUUUCUUAGGCGCCGUAUAGAUUGGCACCAGCUGAAUUGAGAGAGUUGAAAACUCAGUUGUAGGAGUUGGUAGACAAGGGUUUCAUUCGACCUAGUUUUUCUCCUUGGGGUGCAUCAGUUUUGUUCGUGAAGAAGAAGAAUGGCACCAUGAGGUUGUGCAUUGAUUACAGACAAUUGAACAAGGUCACAGUGCGGAACCGAUAUCUGUUGCCACGCAUUGACGACUUGUUCGAUCAAUUGAAGGGUGCUAAGGUAUUUUCUAAGAUUCUUUUGAGAUUAGGCUAUCAUCAGUUACGAAUCAGGGAAGAUGAUGUACCUAAGACUACUUUCCGGAUGAGGUAUGGCCAUUAUGAGUUUUUGAUGAUGCCUUUUGGGCUAACUAAUGCACCAGCAGCGUUUACGGAUCUCAUGAACAGAGUGUUCAGACGUUCUCUGGACCGCUUUGUGAUUAUGUUCAUAGACGAUAUCCUUAUGUAUUCCAAAAGUGAAAAGGCGCACAUGAAGCACUUGGAAAUUGUGCUGAGAACUUUAAGAAUGAGACAAUUGUGUGCAAAAUUCAGCACAUGUCAGUUUUCGUAAGACAUAGUUUCUUGGGGAACGUGAUCUCUGUUAAAGGUAUCUAUGUAGACCCCCAAAAGGUGGAAGCAGUGGUAAACUGGCCACGACCAACCAAUGUCACUGAGGUACGAAGUUUUCUUGGGUUGGCAGGGUACUACAGUCGCUUGGAGAAGGGUUUCUCUACCAUAGCUACACCCUUCAAGGAAAGAAGUUAUGUUUGAAUGGACAAAUGAGUGUGAGGAAAGCUCUACUGAGUUAAAAACCAGGUUAACAACUGCUCUAGUAUUGGCAUUUCCUGACGAUAGUGGAAACUUUGUUAUCUACAGUGAUGCAUCACGACAUGGUUUCUGUUAUGUGUUGAUGCAACAUGGUAAGGUAAUCGCUUUUGCUUCUAGGCAACUUAAGAAGCAUGAGUUGAAUACCCUACGCAUGAUUUCGAGCUUGCUGUGGUACUGUUCGAGUUAAAGAUUUAGCGAUAUUAUCUUUAUUGGGAGACAUGCCAAAUUUUUACGGAUCAUAAUAAAAGGCUAAAGUAUUUGUUCACCUAGAAGGAAUUAAAUUUGAGACAAAGGAGAUGGUUAGAAUUGAUAAAGGACUAUGAUUGUACCAUUGAACAUCAUACUGGGAGAGCUAAGUUGUGGCUGAUGCCAUUAGCAGGAAGUCGUCUGGGUCCUUGGCUCAUCUCCGAGGGAAGUAUCUUCCAUUGUUGGUUGAAUUGAGAAAUUUGAGAGUUGGGUUAAAUAUGGAUGAUCAAGGGGCUUUGCUUGCUACUCUCCACGUAAGACCGGUGUUAGUUGAACAAAUUAUCGAAGCCCAAAUGCAGGAUUCAUUAAUUUUACACAUUAAGGUUAGAGGUUGAAAAUGGUACAGGAAUAGAUUAUUCUAUGAGAAGGGAUGGAGCUUUGAUGGUAGGAACAAGAUUGUAUGUUCUCGGGAAUGAAGCACUAAAGAGGGAAAUUCUUGAGGAGGCCCACUGUUCGGCCUUCGCCAUGCAUCCUGGCAGCACAAAAAUAUACUGCACCCUAAGAAAUCAUUAUUGGUGGCCUGUAAUCAAGCAAAUUCCAAGUUAUGCAAAGUUCUUGAAGGACCUUUGUACCAACAAGAGGAAAUUCAAAUAUCAUGAAACGGUUGCACUAACGGAAGAGGUUUAUGUUGUUUUGCAAAGGAAGCUCCCUCCCAAAGUUAAAAGAUCCAUGAAGUUUUACAAUUCCUUGUGUUAUUGGUGAUAAAAUGUUUGAACCCCGCCAAGCGCAAACACUAUGUGCUCUCUCUGCAGAGAUAGAAACGUUCUCUUUACUCUUACAAUCCUCAAGUGAGAGAUCUCAGACAGUUUGCUCAUAAGCUCAAUGAUUGUGAUACCUCUUAAGGUGCUUUCUUGGCUACUCUUGAAGAAAUCUCACAACCAUCCACUAGAGAAAAUGCGCUUUUGAUACUCAAUAGCUUGAAGCUAUGGCAGAAAACCCAAAUGUUCUUCAAUUGGGUGAAAACCCAUAAUUUUUUAAGAAAAAAGAGGAUUAAAAUAAAAACAAAAACUGCAUCCCUAUCCUUGCAUCCCUAUCCUCCCCCUCCCCCUCCAUCUCCCCAUCUGCCCGCAUCCUCCUCUUUUUUUUUUUCUCUCUCUCUCUCUCUCUCUCUGUUACCCCCGAGCCAAACCUCAGCCCACUCCCUGUCAUCCACGACCCACUCACUGCCCCUCUAUCUUUCCCUCAUCUUCUUUUUUUUCCCCUUAUCUUUCUUUGUGUGUUAUCUUUUCCAUUUGCGAAAGGUGCCUCUGAUUUUUUUCCCCCAACUACCCAAACCACCCCCACGCUUGAGCCUUACAUGUGACCCAACAGAGGGACCGUUUGCAGGGAGAGAGAGAGAGAGAGAGAGAGAGAGAGAGAGAGAGAGAGAGAGAGAGAGAGAGAGAGAUGUAAUUUUUGUUUUUGUUUUAAUCUUAUUUUUUCUAAAAUAUUAAUUUUCUUUACAAUUUUUUUUUAUGGAUUUUAAGUUUUAAAAUCUAAAUUGAAAUUUUUAAUUAUUAUUUUUUGAAAAAUGAGGUAAAGUGAGAUAAAAUUGUGUGAAAUAUGGGAUAAAGUGAGACAAAAUGAGAUUCAUGGGGUAAAGUGAGACUCAAAUACACUUUUAGGAGGUAUAUAAAGAAAUAAGCCUAAAAAAAAAAAAAACCAACCCACCUCAUCCUCCCCCACUUUAAUCCCAACCCCCAUCUCAUCGAUGUUCUGCAACAGCCUCUUGGUAUCCCACCCUCCCCAUUCUCUCUCUCUCUCUCUCUCUGAACAAACCCAGAGCCUUGCAGCCCCUAUAAACGUUUGAAGAGAGAAAUAGAGGGAGAGAUGAGGAGGGGACAUGGACGGAGGGGAAGAAAAGGUGGGCUGUGAGGAGGAGAAGACGGGGAGCUGGGGCAAUGGUUAUCAGGCUGGGAGGUGGGACAAGGAAAUAGGUUUUUAUUUUAUAGUUUUUAAUUUAUUUAAUAUUUUAUUUAAUUGGACUCUUUUACCCCUAUUUGACAGUAAUAUUGAUAGAAUGUGACGGUAAGACCAGUGUGCCGAUUAAUAAAGAGUUGGUGAACCAUUUAAACGAAUAAUUUAAUUGAAGGACUAAAAUGCAACUCGAGUGUAAAUUUGAGGACCAUUUAAGUAAAUAACUCUACUAUAGUAAUAUAUAGCCUUGCUUGUGCCUAACAUAUCACAUAUCUAAGGGCUGCUAUGUGUCUUUGAUAUUCUUCAACAAAUGAGAAAUCAAACAGAACAGUAUUUAAAUAUUUGAUAUGCAUCUCAAAUUAAAAAUGAAGCAAUUAAGUCGAACAUCUACAUCGAUCCAUUGAGAAAAGGACGUAACGAAAUAGAAAAUUUAGGUCAAUUAGUACUCUAUAAUCAAGUUGGAGCUUGCACUAGCUUUUAUUAAAUUAUGAAAGGAAAUACACGGAGAAGAUUAUAAGAUAAUUAUCUCCAGUCAUUUAAGAGGAUAGAAUUGCAAGUUGCAAUUGCUUUAACAAAGUUGUUAAUUAGCUGUCGUACAAUUGAAACAAAUAAUAAUAAGGAUAGUGGUCGAAGACUAACAAAGUUGACUACGAUUUGCGUUCACUUUGGUUAUCGGACUUCACAUGCAUAGACGGAAGAGAAUCUGGUUCAGUUGUGAAGAGCCUGAUUUAUCAUUCCUCACAUCAAUUUAAGAAUAAAAGUAAUCUACUUGUGGGUAGACGCUUUAAGAAUAAAAUAUUAUAUCACUAAUCUGAUAAAUAUUCUGCACCAGUCAAGACCACAUGCAGUUGUCUUGUCUUGGUUACACAACCUACAAUACCUUUUGUCCAGCUCCAUGUCUUGGUUCCACGUGCAGUUGUCUUUAUUAUGUCAUGUCUUCUUCUCAACACUUCCCCACAAAAACAUCAGCUCACUGUGUUCAUCAUAAGGCAAGGUUUGAACACUGCAAAAACAUCAGCUAACUGUUCAGCAGAGGGCAAGAUUUGAACGCGGUGAGUGUCGAAGGCAAUACGUUCCAGAACAAAGUGAUAUUUUCAUAUAUACCUUUCGAAAACUAGUCCAAAAAAGAGCCAGACCCUUGCCUGCCUCUUCUUCUCCGUGUCUCAACCUUAGUUUUUUGGGGCUGCUUCUCAGCCUCCUGUUCAGAUUUUGGCUAGGUCUCCCACCUUUGGAUCCUUGUUGUAUGUGUUGUUGAAGUUUUGGAGUUUGGUGGUAGAUCUAGGUAGAUCUCCUUUGGAUCUAUUUUAUGUGGAGGUGUAGCUGCUGGAUCUAGGUAGAUCUUCCAUCAUAUGGUAUUGUGGGAUCGUGAGUUCCAUGAUUGGUAGAAGGAAGUUUUUUUUUUUUAUUAAGGUCAUUUCUGGAAUUGGUCUCUUCUUUGGUUUUCAUUAUAUUUCCUUGAGAAUACUAAUGAGUUUUCAGUGUCUUUUAUUUGAUUGAAUUAGGCACCAUCUCUGGUUUUCCAUUUCUGCCUUUUGGUUUAGUAAUCUUUUUGAUCUGAUGGAACCAGACCUCAUCUUUGGUUUUCAGAUUCUUGCUCCUCCCUGCCUUUCAAUCUUACAAGGUUGUUUGCUCUUCCAAUCAAGGUAAUAAUCUCAAUCUAUCCUUGAUCUUUAUUUUUAUUUUUUUUAUAUAGCAAUUUAUGAUUUCAGAUUAUGGUUUCUUCUGUAUAUUUUUCAUGGCAUCUUGUAAUUUUGGUCUAUAUUUGAGAAGAGGAAUUGGGUCUGAUUGCUUCAUUUGGGUCUAUCGUUGAUUUUGAGUUAUAGAAAAAAAAGAGAUAAAAAACAGAGAACAUAAAACUAUUAGAAAAGUGUUGGUGGGACCAUAAAUGUAUUAUUAAUUAUAAAGAUGAAUUGGCACCUCAAAAUGGUGCUUUUUUUAAAAUCAACUUAGGAGACAAAUUCAUAUCAAUAGCUAGUGUGUGUUUUUUUAGUUGUGAUUGUGUUGUCUGAUAUAAUGAUUAUGUCAUGUCUUCUCCUCAGCAAGUUGUUUUCCUUGUGUGCUCGAAGAAAAUAUGACUGAAGCAAUAGUUUCCUUUGUGAUUGAAAGACUUGGAGAAUUCAUCAUCCAAGAUGCAAAGUUCUUGUUUGGAGUCAGCGAUAAAGUUGAGUUUGCACAAACUGAGCUGCAACUCAUGCAGGGUUUUCUGAAAGAUGCAGAUCUAAGGCAACGAGAUGAUGAAACGGUACGUGUUUGGGUUGCACAAAUAAGAAAGGCUGCUUAUGAUCUGGAGGAUGUCAUAGAAAUAUUUAUCUUGAGAGUGGCUACAAAGAAGCGAGGCAUGAAGCAUGUUCUGAAAAGGUUUGGUUGUGUGUUAAAGGAAGGAGUUGAUCUUCACAAGAUUGGGUCACAAAUUGAGAAUGUUACCACCCAACUUUCUAAUUUGAGGUCAAGCUUGCAAACUUAUAACAUUAAGGAAAUAAGGAACUCUAGAGGUGCCACUUCUUUGUAUGAGAGGCAGCAGCAAGUAAGGCGAACUUAUUCUCAUAUUAUUGAACGUGAUGUUGUUGGGUUAGAGAAUAGUGCGGAAGAAUUGGUCAAGCAUUUGGUGAAGAAAGAAUUUAGCCACCGAAUUGUUUCUAUCUGGGGUAUGGGUGGUCUGGGAAAGACCACCCUUGCAAAACAAAUUUAUCGUCAUAAUGAAGUUAGACGCCAUUUUGGUUGCUUUGUUUGGAUAUGUAUAUCUCAACAAUUCCAAGUGAGAUCUGUUUGGGAAGAAAUUUUAAUUAAACUUAUUUCUGCUACCACUGCGCAAAGAGAAGAAUUUGCAAAACUGAGGGAUGAUGAAAUAGCCAAGAAGAUAUAUCUUCUACAACAAAAAAGUAGAUGUUUGGUAGUCCUUGACGAUAUUUGGAGCAUUGAGGCAUGGGAGUCACUGAAAGCUGCGUUUCCAUUGUAUGAUGCGGAAACAGAAAGUAGAAUAUUACUCACCACUCGCAACAAAGAGGUAGCUUUACAUUCAAAUGGAUUCAUCCACCAACCUCGCCCAUUAAAUGACGAUGAAAGCUGGGAACUUUUUGAGAAGAUAGCAAUCUUUGGAAGAGAAGGAAUAAGUAUUCUCUUAUCCCAAUCUUUUGUCUCUACUUUAAUUUCAUAUUUGUCAAUUAAACACAAUAGAUAAGAACUUUUCAUAUUCCAUUCGACACUACAUUUGAGAAAGACAAAAAAAAUUGCUUCUGUUUCCACCAACAUAUACUAUUUUCCCACCCAGCUUAUCUUCCUACCCACUAUUUAUAAUAAAAAUAGCUAUUGUGCGGUGGAGGAAGAGGGAGGACGGAGGUGGGUGGGGUAUGCGUGAUGUGCAGGAAGGGUUUUGAUUUUUUUUUAAAAAAUAAUAUUUUUAGUUGAUUUUAAUGUUUAAUGUUCUUUUUCUAAGUCUUUAAAAUUUUGAAGAUAAAAUGAGCAGGGAAAUAAGACGGGGGAAGAUAGAAACACUAAAAAAAAAAAAAAACAUAUAAUAAUUUUUCGGACUUUGUGUUUUCCAAGCAUUAAGAACAUUUGUUUUUGGUGAUCGAUAAAUGUUAUAUGAUUAUCUGCCAAAUUACAUAGCACAUGGGAUUCUUCAUAAGAACUUUGCUGUAAGAACCUUAUAUUUUCUGUCUCAUCUCCAUAUCGAAUAUUCUUAACUAUAGCCAUUUUCACUUUGGAAACAAACAUUGACACAAAUUAACGCCACCAAAUUGAAAUAUAAACUCCCAUAUUUUAAUUUUAAUUUUGUCAUUUGUUAAAACAUGUUUAUCGAUAAAUUAUAGGUAUUUAAGUAUUGUUAAUUAUUUUUUAUCGAUAAAAGAGUACGGGUUUUGAUUACCUUAUCAUUUAGAAAAUGAAAAAUGAAUCUCGAACUUGUCCGCUGAACCCAUCUUUUUUUAUUUUGGGAAGUUAAUGUUGUGCGAAAACACUCCAAUACAUUGUUGUUGAUGGAUUACCCAACUAUCACACACAAGGCAUGCAAAGAUAAAGCACACACUCAAAUCGAAAAGUAAACACACACACAAAGAACACAAGAAUUUAUAGAGGUUUGAUGUUGUGGUUACAAUGAAUAACUCCCUUUGCUCUCUCACAAACCCCAGCUCUCUUUUCUCUCACCCUUGGCUCAAACUCAAUUUGAUGCCUUAGUUUUCUCACGUUAUGAAAACCUAGCACUAAAGUGCCUAUUUAUAGUUCAUAGGACUUAAGUACAAACCUAAUAGUAAUAGAAGACUUAACCUAGCUCAAAUAGGCUAGCAAAAUGCCAAUCACGCAUAGCAGGAAAAACACACAAUGACCGGUCGCGCAAUUCUUGAGACCGGUUGGUUUGCACAAAACCUCCAACUUCUCUCCAGCAUCGCGACCUUUGCUCUCAGGAUUAUGCGACCGAUUGUUUUUGAAAGAAGCGACCAGUCUCUUCUUGCUUCUCCUUCCUAUUUUCGCAUCUUUAAGUGAGGCAACUUCAACAGUUAAAACCCAUCUCAAAGUAGUUUUUGUUUUCCAAGUUAUUAAACUUGGUGCAAUUGUCAUUAUAUUAGUUUUGUCAAUUAUCUAGCAUAAGUGUUUUAUUUUCUUUUGUUGCUGAUAUAUCUAGCAUACGAUGAGUAAAAUCAUAAACUGACAGUGUAAAAUUGUUUGAAAAAAAUGAACAUUUUAUUUUAGACAAGCGAUUAGUGUAGUUCUUUAAUUAUUUACUUUUACAAUGCAAAGUUAGCUAAUAUAACAAUGAAUUUGGUGUUGAUUAUGUUUCAGCCUUCGAAGUUUCCACAAAGAUGAAAAAGUUAGGAAAGAAAAUGCUUCAACAUUGUGUCGGCUUGCCAUUAGCCAUCAUUGUGCUCGCAGGACUACUCGCCAGAAAGGACACAAUUAAUGAGUGGGAGACAGUACUUAAGAAUGUUUAUGCAUACAUAAGAAGAGGCAAAGACCAUGAACAUGAAGUCACGGGUACAUCGUGGGUGUUGUCGUUGAGUUAUGAUAACUUACCGUAUUAUUUAAAACCAUGUUUUUUAUAUUUAGGUCAUUUCCCUGAAGAUUUUGAGAUAUCAGUAAAGAGGUUGACUCAGUUAUGGAUGGCAGAAGGUCUUAUAUCCUUGGUGCAACAAAGACAAGGUUCAAUGGAAACAAUGGAGGAGAUAGCUUUUAGUUCCUUAAAUGAAUUAGUGGAAAGGUGUAUGGUUCAAAUUGGAGAACGGGGUUCAAUUAGAAAGAUUAAAUCUUGUCGGCUUCAUGAUCUCAUGCGAGACUUGUGCUUGUUGAAGGCAGAAGAGGAGAACUUUCUCCAAACUGUCAAUUUGUCGCAUAGGGAGACAAUGUAUGCUCUUCCUUCUCCCACGGCAAUCGAGGCAACACUAAAAGGUAAGGUUCGAAGACUUGCCAUCUAUGUGGAUGAUAAUGUUGAUAAAUUGGUUCCAUCAAGUUAUGAAAGAGAUGACCGCCUUAGAUCUCUGUUAUACUUUGGCCCAAGAUACUGGAUGCCAAACAAUAACAAGUUAGUGUCGCCAAUAUUCAAGGACUUCAAAUUGCUUAGAGUUUUGAAGGUUGAAGGUAUAAAGCUAUUAGUAAAAUUGCCUAAUGAAAUUGGGAAUAUGGUCCACUUGAGAUUUUUAAGUCUAAGGCAUAGUUUUAUAAAUUGGUUGCCAUCGUCCUUAGGUAAUUUGAUAUGUAUGCAAACUCUGGAUUUACGCAUCAACGGAACGAAUGUAGUUCCAGAUGUAUUUUGGAUGAUGGAACAACUGAGGCAUUUGUAUUUACCUUUUUAUUACACCGCACGGGGUAAAAAACUUCGACUGUCCACUCUUCAUGAUUUGCAGACUCUACAUCAUGUUUCAAGCCUCUGUUGUGACUUGAACGAUCUUACUCAGUUAACCAGUCUUAGAACACUGGCCAUACAAGUGACAAGCCCUUUGAAAAAUUUGGAGGAAACCUUAGAAUCUACAAGCAGCACACUUGAUCGCAUUCAAUCUCUGUAUGUGCACAACUUACUUGGAAUUCGUAGUGGUACGGAGGUUGCACAGAUAGUGUUAAGUUGCCGUCAUAUAUACAAGCUAGAUUUGAAUGGGCGAACAGUACAGUUACCUGACCUUCAACACUUUCCGAACCUCACUAAGUUAACACUGUGUCGCUGUGAUCUCAAGGCCAACCAGAUGGCUGUGCUAGAGAAGCAGCCAAAUCUUAAAACUCUUUGCCUUAUGGAGGAAACUUUUGAGGAUGGAUUAGACACACUGGUUUUCUCCAAAGGAAGCUUUCUUCAACUUGAAUCUCUUUCCCUCAUUUGCAUGUACGAAUUAAGGGACUUCACGGUGGAAAAAGGAGCCAUGCCUAGCCUCCACCGAUUGUGCAUGCAACGUUGCAUGGGAUUGACGACACUUCCAGAUGGGCUGAGACAUAUUACUACACUCUGGGAAUUAAGCUUCACAGAGAUGUCUAGGACAUUUCAUAGUAGGCUUCAGGUCGGAGGAGAUGAUUUCUAUAAAAUCCAACACGUGCCUUCGAUUGUAUUUGCCAACAUGCAGGAGGACUAGGUACUUCUUAAUUUCCGAGUGUGGUCAAGGUUAAUUCAUUUGUUGUGUAACGUGUUCUUCAUUUUGCAUCUUUGCGUCAUUCUUCAAUUUAUUAAUUUUCUUUUUUAUUGUUAUACUGCAGUUGGUGGUUGUCUGUUUUGCUUGGUCUUUGUUAUAUUGUGCUGCAUAUACUUACUGCCGAGAGUUUCCCUUAUAUUGGGAGGGACUGCAUUCAAAAAACAACAGUACAAGCUGAGGUAACCAUUUUCCUUUCUUAUUUCAUGUGCUUUAUAUAUUGUUAGCCAUUCCUUACAAUUUUACUCUAAUCCACAUAAGGAUAAAGCUGCUCACUGUGAUAAAGAUAGACAGAUGUACAAUAAGUUUCCUCUUAUAACUACACUUGUACCAAUAUACUGAACGAUUCACAUCCACAAUAUCUUUUCUACAUAUAUGAUGGUCGAAGAUGAUCAUAUGGAAAUUGAAUCACUGGUAUGAGAUUCUUGGUAUGUCAUAAUGUCACAUAAUUAUCGGAAAGUAUUCUAUCAUAACUUGAAACUAAUGUAUUUUUGUGUCCAAAGGAUAUUUGCAAAUUUGUUCUCUUGUUAAAAGGUACUAAUUCUAUUUUUCUUAGGUGAGAAGUGAGGACAUAUGAAUAUAUUUGUUGGGGAAGCUAACUAGAUGUUGAGAAAAGCAUGUUAGAUGAUCAGUUAAAUGGAAGUUAGUAUAUACUUGUGCCCUCAAUAGAGUGCAAAUAUAUCUUUGUACUCUGUUUUGAUUCUGUUCUUUUCAUAUGAAUUUGCUGGGGCUGCUUUGAGGUACUAUAUGUUAGGCUAUUAUGCUUUUGCUGUCUCCUUCGAAUUAUAGGGUCUUCAUUAUUUACUAAUCUUCAAAUCCCUGUGUUUCGGUGGAUCCCGAGCCAGACUUCACGGAAAGAGCGAUACGGGGAAAUGAGUGAAGCUGCCUCAAAGGAAGGAAUGGAUGACACCAUUGGGCCAAUGUCGAUAGAGUGCGCCGAUGAUGACGUCAUAUACAAAAGCGUGGUAGAAUGUUAGAACCCAAAUAUCCCAAGUUGAGAGCUCUCGAGAACCCUUUCCAUACAAGUUAAUUUUUAAGUGUAAGUUCUACACAAGGAAAAGAUCUUACAGCAGUUACCACCUAUGGCUUCAUCAGAAAUUUAUCUCUAAGACUCUUGUUAAUCAUUUUGGUUAAAUAUUUCCAAGUCUAGUGUAAUUCUAUGUGUGUAUGCCUAAAGUUUGUGUAAUCCUAUGGUUAACUGUUUUUGAAGCGCAAGGAUAUCCGUG
This 20899-nucleotide long non-coding RNA is filed under the name Prunus persica (peach). Its description in RNAcentral is "long non-coding RNA (PPER_LNC001122)". The record is from RNAcentral. Lineage: Eukaryota; Viridiplantae; Streptophyta; Magnoliopsida; Rosales; Rosaceae.